GCAGCACAGCGCAGCGCUCCUGGAGAGGCUGUGGGUUCGUGGCAUCCGCGCCGCGGCCGCAAGUAUAGCAGGUUUCGUACCUGGUGUUCAUCGCCGUUAAGUCAUCGCUGCUGCCACCCAGGCACGGCUCUCUAUGCCGCCGCUCCCUCCACCCUCUAGGCACUGCCUGCCGUAAGAAUUUUAACUGCGACACUCGCUUCAGCAGGAGAUUUUAUUGGCUGCAGACACACGCAGCAUCUUCUUGCGCUCCUCCUUGAGGUGGAUGGGCAGCUAGCUGGAGAUGACACAGGAUGAUGCGCAUCUUUCGCACGCUGGCUCCAAGAUCUCCGCUGCCAGAUGCAGCAACAAAGCUUCUUUGUACAGACAGCCCUGGACACACUUCCAGCAGCAAUUCUUCUUGCAGGAACUGGUGCAAGAACAGGAUUUAUUCGUGGCACAGGAGCAGUUGGUGUCCACUGGGAGUGGAGGCAGAAGAGAGACCAGAGCGGUGACUUCAACAGAAGUGGAGUAAAUAAAGAUGAUCACAGAACUUGGAAGCUGACGAAAUUAAUUUUGGAAAAGAGCUGGCUUGGAGCAUGACAGAAGAAUUCGAUGGAAAGAGUGCUGGGAGCCCAACUCAAGACUGAUGUGUGCUUGGCAGGCAGUCUACCCCCGAUCUCAGUCCUCCAGCCUUUCGGCCUUUUUUCCUUUUUGGAGACAGAAUUGCAUCAUAUGGCAUCCUACACAGUCCUGCCUCAGUCUCUGCAGUGCUGGGAUUGUAGGCCUAUGCCACCUAGCCUUUCUACAAUACAAACAAAUAUGAAAAGAAGAGGGACUUCUUUGGAAAGGAGUACAGGGACUAUGGAAGAGAUGAAAAGAUAAUAUUGUCAGAAAUUAUGCCGCUUUUGAAGAGAUAAACUGAACUCUUGAUUCUGUGAGGUUAUUAAAGAAUAUUAAUUUUCAAAUCACGGUAAAAUCUUGAUUCAGCAACACAUGAGGAUAAUCAUUGUGUCCAUGGAAACCUUGGGAAGCAGUUGAAAGCCUGGUCCCUCUUGCCUGGAGCAUUAACACAACGUGGCUGCAAAGUUAGUCCUUUCCCGCUACCAUCUCCUGAAUACUGGGACUAACUACACGUAUGCACGAACCUGCCCAUCUUUGCCUCUGUUAACAGCUGCCACUGUCUCUUCACGACAUGAUGGCUGACCUAGGUUGGAAGGAACAGAGCCAGUUGGCCAUGGACUGAAACUUUUGGAACUGAUUCUGAGGAGUUAAUGUUUCCAUGAAUAUCUCAGAAGGAGAUGUGGACAAACGAACAGUUAUCUCACUCCUGUAGGUUGGACUACAGUGAUCACUGAGUAGGAGCUUCGUCUUUAAAAUCUGGGGUGUGCUGUUAUGGUUGGUAUUCAUUUUCCUUUACCCGCUUUCCCCAUACCUCCAUUUAUAAUUUUAUUGCUGCUCAUAGCUCCAGAAGGAUAUAGUAACAGAGCAGGCAUGGCCUCAGUGUGGUAAGCUAAGUGAGAACAGGAAGUGGAACCAGGGUAGAAAACCCCAGUCUUGCCCCUAGUGACACACCUCAAGCAAGGUUCUCCUUCUGAAAGGUCCCAUUACAUUCCCAAAUGUAGCCACCACCUGGGAUAUGAGUGUUCAAAUACAUGAGGUAGGGCCACGGUGUUCCUUCAAAGCACCACAGAGGGCAGAAUGUACACCCUGCUAGAAUAGCUUUCUAUGAAAGGAUCCAUCUCUUCACUGGAGCAGGCAGACAUAUGAAGAAGACAACUUGGAGUGGUCGUGAAAGGAUUUGAGGUUUGGCAUGGACUCUAAGAAGCACGAGAUUUGUGGUUUUCCUUCUUUGUUUCUUGCUAGGUAGUCCUGGCUGUCUAGUAACUACCUACAAAGAUCAAGGAGACCCCAAUCUUGUAGCAAUCCUGCUGCUGCCUCACAAUUGUUAGGAUUAUAGACAUGGGCACAUGUUCAUUAGAAAGUUGCACUGUUCUCUAAUUCAUCUUUUAAGAUAAACUAUAGAGGGAUGAAGAUUAGCAUGUUACACCACCACAGAUAGAAACCAUUCUAGUAUCACGAAACAUCCAACUCAUGUAGAAUUUCCAUUCGCUGUUUGGGAUGAUAGAGAGAUGGAAUUGAGUUUUUAGAAGGUAAACCACACAAGAGAGUCUAGGGAACUGACAGAGCCUGGCUGGACUGCACAGUUCGUCCUCAAACGACUUUUUACUGACCCAGCUCCUGAGGAAAGGACCCUGGUGUCUGAACUUCAACGCUGAUUUAAUAAUCAUUGUUUUCAUGACUGGUCCUUUAGAAAUCUGGCCUGCUUUAUAUUUGCCCCUGGGGCUUAGACAAGGGAGAAAAAUGGAAAAUACUGUCCGAGGUAACCACAGCCACACAGAACCUCAUACACCAAGUGGUUAGCCUUAUCAUAGAGCACAGGUGCCUGUUCUCAGUCACAUGCUAGCCCUGUCUUAGGAUUUUGUUUACAUUAACCAUUCUAUUUCACAGUAUUAAUGUCCUUAUACACAAGAUACACAGAAAUCUUUGUUGUGUUAGACAUCAACAAUGAAAAAUCCCUCAGGCCCAAAUAUCAGAAGAUAGCACGAAAAUACCAAGUCAGAACGAAGAGGGUGGCCAGUGGAUUUGAAGGUAGAUGCAGACUUUAUCAUGGUUACUCCUACAAUACAGAACAUUCUUGUUUAUUAGUCUGAUACCAGCCAUCUGAUGUCAUGUUGGCAACUAGAGAAGCUUUAUAUAAGAACAGGAGCUCUGUAAGAAAAUAUUGUAGGAAUUAGGCUUUAUAAGACAAUCGUGGCCCUUGGCAGUCUUGGUUAAGUCUCUUAGGAUGGUUAGGGUAGAACUUAGGUGUGAAAAGUCUUGACUUUCAAUUAUUCUACAUUGAAUUCCCAGAACACCUGAGUCAAGCUUUAUUGUGUUUAUUACCCUUGGUCUUGCCUCCUCAUUCUUGUGUGGACUCCUUAACUCCUGCCUCUCUUUACCCAACCCAAAUGUGUUUCAGCAAUCUUCUUUCCCUGCCCAGUACUGGAUCUGUGAAAAGCUGAAUCAUGAAUCAGUGAGUGUGCGGAUUGGAACCCAAGUUGCUCUCUGGAUAGAACGAAAGGAGUCGUGCCCCAAGAAGAUGGAGAGGGAAGUUAUGAAAUGCUGUGACCAAAUAACAAAUGCUGAUGUUUGGGGAGAUAACUGUUUCCCAUAGGAAAUAGAGUGAAUGCGAUGUCUUUCUUUUGUGAGGGAUUCAUAGACCGCUUCUCAACGCUUGUUACAUGUUACUCCUUUUUUCGAGAUUUUUAUUUACCUAACUGGGAAAGAAACCAGAACAAGGUUUUCAUUGAAUUCUGAUACAGGUAUUUAAAGACUUACGGACAAGAUAUAGAAGAAGAAGUGGUAAUUAACUGAUUAAAGAAGUACAGUUUAUAUCCAGUAGACAGACAGGCUCCAGACAUCCUUAGUGCUGUCUUAGCAUCAAAGGUUAAUCUACCUAAUACUUGUCAUCCUGAAAUGCAUGGUGGAACAUCCAACAGACAAGAGCUACUUCAGGGAAGGACUAUGAUUUUUGUCGUGGAAGACAUUUAACACAGGGCAGCUCCUGUGCACUUACAUGAUAGAUAUUGCUCUUCCGGGGACUCUGAAUGCUCAUCCCACUUUCAGCUCACUAGGCACAUCGAACUAGAAAUUUUAUCAUCUCGUGAAUUAGUCCAAUACCUGAAGGAGCAAGAGAACCAACACCCAGUUGACAAGAAUAUGACCUGUUGAUUGAAGACCAUUAAGAAAGUAACUUGAUUCAGUUGGACUGGACUUUUUUAUUCUAUUGAAAAAGGAAUUUAUUUCCCCUCAGUGAACGUAACAUGAUCAACAUUUUGAAAGUUGUGAACAUGCAUAGUUCUAUAAUUUACAAAAUAAUUAUAAAAAUCUGAGUAUGGAUGCAGCAUAAUUUCAGAACAGAAUAGCCAUCAUACUUUUUAUAUAUCUUAAAUUCGAGUUUUCAAGAGUAUAUUUCUAUGUUAUAUCCUUUGAUUAGUACAAUAUAAAAUCUACAUCUAAUAUGUACUUCAGGUUUUAUUAGAUCAUGCCAUAUUACUGUACAAUUUGGACUUUUCCAUUUUUAUAUAAAAUGUAACAUGCAUUGUACAUUAAUAUUUAUAUAUCUUGUUUAUUUAUAUAUCUUUAGAAUUAAUUUCUGCCAAUUAUUUUCUUUAUUUGAAUACUUGGGGUAUCAUAAAGGUGCUGUUGAGGUAUUCUCAAUAUGCUUGUACAACUUCCUGCCUGUAGUUAAUAAAUGUGGAUAUUUCAUUAAACAAUUGAAAUAUAACAUUUUGAUGGUAUCUGAUUGUAGUUCUAUAGAUUGUAAAAUAUAUGUAGUUGCAUAUCUUCAAAAAAAAAAAAAAAAAAA
This 4387-nucleotide long non-coding RNA is filed under the name Mus musculus (house mouse). Its description in RNAcentral is "Ftx transcript, Xist regulator, non-protein coding". Lineage: Eukaryota; Metazoa; Chordata; Mammalia; Rodentia; Muridae. The record is from RNAcentral.